UUUGAUCUGCCAGCUCAACUAAUGAGCUCAGAUCCAAUGACUCACGCUUUUUCCUAUUUUUUAAAUUCUGAUUUUAAUUUCUUUUAUUUCUUUUAAUUCCAUUUUAUUUCUAAAAUUCAUAUCUCUCUCAUUAUUGGUCCAAAAAUUAUGGGACCAAUUUCAUUCUUCUCCUUUUAAUUUCUACUUUCUAAAAAUGAAUUUUAA
RNAcentral lists this long non-coding RNA (204 nucleotides) under Lathyrus oleraceus (garden pea). Its description in RNAcentral is "Pisum sativum (pea) long non-coding RNA (PSAT_LNC008709)". Lineage: Eukaryota; Viridiplantae; Streptophyta; Magnoliopsida; Fabales; Fabaceae. The record is from RNAcentral.